UGUGCAUAGAUGUUAGGGUUAAG
Molecule: microRNA, 23 nt
Filed under: Petromyzon marinus (sea lamprey)
Lineage: Eukaryota; Metazoa; Chordata; Hyperoartia; Petromyzontiformes; Petromyzontidae
Description: pma-miR-4618
Source: miRBase by way of RNAcentral